Molecule: long non-coding RNA, 3203 nt
Filed under: Triticum aestivum (bread wheat)
Lineage: Eukaryota; Viridiplantae; Streptophyta; Magnoliopsida; Poales; Poaceae
Description: long non-coding RNA (TAES_LNC005913)
Source: RNAcentral
CCAUCCACACCCAUUUUGACCGUUCAUUAGAUGUUUAUCGGCUAGCAGGGGAGGCCAUGAACAAUCUUUAAAAAAAACCAGGUUUGUAGCGUUAAACACAUGCUCCGGAAAUGCUAUACAUGUUCUCUUAUUUGUUCUUUUGGUAAUCUACUUCACCACUGACUCAAUUGUUGGUUCAACCAGUCUUUGUUGAUUGAGUUCUUGAUAUUAGCGAAUAUUUUUCUGACCGGCAGGUGCAAGUGCUGAGUUAUAACGCGACAUCGACGACACAAAAGCCAGUAUGUUUGAGCUAAGGGAACGAGCUAGGGACAGUACCACCCGGCUGCCCCAGCACUUAAGCUGACUGUCCAAUUCCACUUUCAUCCAUGGAGGCUGCGGUUUAAUUCUCAGGUUUGGCAACCUUUUCUCUCUACGGCUGAGUGUUGUAGUCCUGUCAAAUGAAGCAGUGUUGUUUUUGCAAUAUAGAACAGAUAUAUAAGGUGCUUCCAAUUUCUUAAUCCCAGAAUUGACGAGACCUUAUUUAGUUUGGACUCAUAAUAAUGUGUCAAUUAGAAAUAGAGCAUUGUCAUUAUCACGGCGGAUGGAUGUAUAUCAUAUGUUCUCUUGUGUUGUAUUUUGGUGAGAAAAAAGGAGAAAUAUGAGAGGAACAGAGAGAGCAGAGAGAGAGGCUCACAUCACUGAACCCUUUUGGAUUCUAAUGCAAGGUUGGAUAAUAUGAAGUUUUUUGGCUUAUCGUUGCGCCUCAUGUUUCCGACCUGGCGUGGCUGUACACUUCUCGUACUCGACUGUUCGCCGGAACUUUGUCUGACCUGAGGUACAUACUGCAGUGUCAUCAAUUUGCAUCGGUCAUCAAAGACUACUUUUGUCUAUCAUUUAAAUUGCCACGAGUAUUUGAAAUUCAUUCUUCUUACUUUUUCAGAUAAUAUAGUAUAUACUAAUUUUGUUCAAGUAUAUACUACUUUUUAUCACUUUUACUUUUUCUCACCGGAUGCAUGCAUGCUUCUCCUCACAGGUUUCCCUUGGUUCAGUACUUAAUUUUUUUGGUGUAUACUUUCUCCUCGGCAGUGAAGUAUAUGUACGACAAGACAGAACAUAUACUGUUGAUCGAUACUGAAACACACCAUACAGAAAGGCCCUCUCUUCUAUACCCCUUUGCGAAAAAUAGUAUACUAUCAUUUGAAAAGAAAACACACCAUACACUCCUUUGUGACAAUGAGUAUACACUGAUCGUUAUUGCCAGUAUCAUAGGUAUAUACUCUGAGAAUAGUUGUAUAUAUCCCAUUUGAAAAAAUAGUAUGUAUAUACUCCUUGCAAAUUACUCCAUAUCGUUUAAUUGUUUUUACAUAAGACUAUCCGUCGAGAUACAAUAACUAAUUAGUAUUUUAAUAACUUGAAUUGCAUGGCUUGAUCGCUCUGCUUGGGUCUUCUCUUAUGUAUGAGUGCACCAUGUGCGGGUUAAUUUUUUUGGGUCUUCUAACUCUCUGGGAUAAUUUGCAUCUCUAUUUGUGCUAAUUGGCAAGGUGCAUGAAUAAUGAUUUAUCUAAGGUUUUUUGCUUAACGGAAAGGCCUUUUCAGUUAAAAAACCCUACUGAUUUGAUCAACAGAAUAUGCCUCUGUUUUUAAAUAGCAGUAGUUCCUCUCAACUUCUACUUAUUUAAUUGACUAUUUUGGUGUCAAGAUCCAAUAGCCUUGCUGUUAGUUAAUGCUAUUUAUAUUUUCUUCCAACAAAGUGUUUACGGCCAAAAAACUCGUCAUUUCCAGCAAAAACAAUGGCUCGCUCCCGCCAGGCCGCAGCAAAAGUUUUGGCCGGUCCCAUAAAAAAUAGUUCCAGCAAAAAAGAUUGUUGUCCCGGUCAUAGGUAUUGUAUGAUUCCACUCUACUCCUCUGUAGUUAUUUGGCUGAAGAUGUGCAUUAGUGGUUGGCUGUGAUAAUACAUAUAGUAAGAUUGCAUGUUAUGCUUAGCAGAGCUUAGCGGAAAUUUGCUAGAGGAGUUGCAACAGCCUUGAUCAAAUAUUAUUUUCAUUAUUCCUUCUUGGUUUUAGAUAAUCUUCAUCGAAAUUUGCUAGAGAAGUUGCAACAGCUUUGGUCAAAUAUUAUUUUUAUUAUUCCUUGUUGGGUUUAGACAAUAAACUAGAGAAUCGAAAUCCUUCUACUAUAUGUGUACCUGUAAUAGAGCAACGCUUGUUGCAGCUAGCUGCAGGAAGGACCAACUUGACUUGAUGGGGAUACAAUCACCAAGAAAGAUUCAUACCUGAACUUACCUUUAUGCACUGCACGAACUACCAAGAUAUUGUAUCUUCCUGUAUGAUCCAUAACUCAUAGACACAUGAGUAGCGAUGGGAUACUAUUUGGUAUGAACAACAUCAUCGUGUUGCAAUUCUAACAUGUAUUCAUUGAACUUAUUUAUCCACAUAAUAGUGAUGCAUCUUACGUAUCUGUCUAUUGUAUCUGAAUCUAAAAUGUAAUUAACUCCUUAAUUUGCCUUCAACAGGAUUGAUAUUUAAAUUAACCAUUUUUAUAAUGACAAUGAACAUGUCAUUUCUAAGCAUUGGCAUGCACUUUUUAUUUCAUGUCGAUAACACGGUGAUGCUUCGCGAAAUGUUUGAACAGGGUAGAUAGCCAUUCAACUAGGGGGAGCUGAUUUUUCCCCAUUGCAAUGCACGGGCACUUUUGCUAGAAGUAGAGGCAUUUAUUAACUGAAGCAAAGUCGCUCUGUCUUUAUCAUGUCAAUAGGCAAUUGUGCCUACAAAUUAGACAAUAGGGGGGAUUUAGCAAGUCACGGGCUCUGAAAGCAUAAAAAGUAAUUCAGUAUAUAGGCGACUACUUGAUUUUGAAGAGGUACUUCUUCAAAAAAGAUAGUACGUGAGCCUUUUCUAAGCUGUAGGAUAUCAUAGUCUGCUCUGCUAGCUGUAAAUUGUAAGAUAGGUGGCUGCAUGUCUCAUAUUCCCGCUAUUUACAUGCUCGACACUGAGAUAACCAUCUCAUCGGCUUCUGGUAAGCUCCCUCUCGACAUGCUUGCAUACCGGACGGUUUUGGUGCAUUUGUAGUAGCUCGUAUCAAUGGUUUCAGCUCUGCUAAACAAUGGGUUCAAUUAUUUCAUUAGUCUUAGCUACUGUGAUUUGAUAAGGAAUAUACUAACAAAUUUUGUUUGGUUCACUUGAACUCCGCCCCUUAAAGAGGUACUAUAUCUUAUCAAGCCUGCG